This 1458-nucleotide long non-coding RNA is filed under the name Cavia porcellus (domestic guinea pig). Its description in RNAcentral is "lncRNA (ENSCPOG00000033412.1)". Lineage: Eukaryota; Metazoa; Chordata; Mammalia; Rodentia; Caviidae. The record is from RNAcentral.
GCCAGAGUGAAGCAUAGACUCACCAUUAAGAAGAAAGUGAAAGAACUGUAGGGUCAAUAUUGGAUCUGUCACACACAUGUUGAAAUGAUGUAAUUUUAGGGUUGUUUGUGCAGAGGGUGAGUGUAAGUGGAGUGGUAUCUUCAGUAAUGUGGCACUGAGAUCAAAUAACGUCAGCAAAACAGAAGCACAAGUGUCAAAUCACUUCAUUGGAUCUCCUAAAGGAGCCAGGAUCUUGUGAGAUGGAAAGGGGCCAGGAGAAGUGAUCUGGAAGAAUCCAUGAGGAACAGAAGGGUAGGGAAAGAUGGAUGGAAGCCUCAGGAACAGCGAAGAUGGGAGAAAAAUAUACUUGAAAAGGAUGCAAGGAAAGUGACCCUGACAGCAGCUGAGUCAAACCACAAGAUUUCUGACAGCCGCCUCAGGCCAUGAAACUCUAGAAGAUAGUGAACGUGAUCCUUCAUGUCUUGGGCCAUUUCUGGCAGUUGAGACCGCCCCAUCCCCACCCCCAUCAUCUCAUCACACCUUGGCUCAGUUGUAAUUGAAAGUUCCAGGGUACCACUUUGCCUUCGUUAAAUUUUUUUUUUUUGGGGGGGGGGCUGGUCUCUGAUGUAACUCAUGUAGCUCUACAAUAGAGUAGUCGGUCAGUUAGCUCAUGGGCAUCAUUGUAGGCCCAUGAUCACAGUUUCCUAGGUUUUAUGUCAGUUUCUGAUCAAGCUUCCCACAGUAUCUGAGAGAGCUCUUAGCAAAAGAAAAAAUGCUACAUUUUUAUUAAUUACAAGAAUGUGGAAAAAUCAAUCUUUAAACUCUACACUGAAAGAGAGAGAGAGAAAGAGAGAGAGAGAGAGAGAGAGAGAGAGAGACAGAGGGAGAGAGACAGAGACAGAGACAGAGACAGAGACAGAGAUAAUAAGAGAGACCGAGAAAGAAUGAAAGAGAGAAAGAAGAACACACAAAAUUAAUUUGUAGAAAUUAUGAAUUUAUGGUGCUUCAGCUCCAGAGUAGAUGGAUUCAGAAUUAGCAGGUUGCUUUCCUUAGGGGUUAUUAAUAUAAAUUUCAGCCAGUCCUAUGUGCUUUCAUUAUAGUCUAACACUUGCUGCCUGCACCUUUUCCGUGGAGGAGUAUUGAAUAUUUUCUUCAGCGUGUACAUAAUCUCUUGCAUCCUUAAGGUGGCAGUAGCAAUCAAAACAAUAUUUAAAGAAAAAUAUUUGAAAGAGUGGAGAAGUGGGAAGAAAAGAGAAACCAAUUGUUGCUGAAAUAUCCUAUAAUCUUCCAUUUCUCUGCUCAGCAGAAUUAUAUCCCUUGCUAGAUUUAUUCAUUAUUAAGAGCUUAUUCAGCCUACAGAUGGUGUGUCACUAGAUUAGGACGUGAAGAAGAUUAGCUUCUCACUGUGUUAGCUGGAAAUAAAUUCUUUAUCUGAUCAUUAAAUCAGUUGUUCAUGUUUUUUUUAAUCAUAAUUAUUAC